GACGAACGCUGGCGGCGUGCUUAACACAUGCAAGUCGAACGGAAAGGCCCUGCUUUUGUGGGGUGCUCGAGUGGCGAACGGGUGAGUAGCACGUGAGUAACCUGCCCUUGACUUUGGGAUAACUUCAGGAAACUGGGGCUAAUACCGGAUAGGAGCUCCUGCUGCAUGGUGGGGGUUGGAAAGUUUCGGCGGUUGGGGAUGGACUCGCGGCUUAUCAGCUUGUUGGUGGGGUAGUGGCUUACCAAGGCUUUGACGGGUAGCCGGCCUGAGAGGGUGACCGGCCACAUUGGGACUGAGAUACGGCCCAGACUCCUACGGGAGGCAGCAGUGGGGAAUAUUGCACAAUGGGCGGAAGCCUGAUGCAGCAACGCCGCGUGCGGGAUGACGGCCUUCGGGUUGUAAACCGCUUCCGCCUGUGACGAAGCGUGAGUGACGGUAAUGGGUAAAGAAGCACCGGCUAACUACGUG
RNAcentral lists this ribosomal RNA (468 nucleotides) under uncultured bacterium. Its description in RNAcentral is "partial 16S ribosomal RNA". It matches the Rfam family "Bacterial small subunit ribosomal RNA", at positions 28 to 507 of the family's 1533-position model. The record is from RNAcentral.